RNAcentral lists this long non-coding RNA (537 nucleotides) under Phasianus colchicus (ring-necked pheasant). RNAcentral describes it as "lncRNA (ENSPCLG00000004159.1)". Lineage: Eukaryota; Metazoa; Chordata; Aves; Galliformes; Phasianidae. The record is from RNAcentral.
GGGGAGCUGGGGUAAGUGAUCAAGCAUUCCUAACAUGUGCCUCCUGCUGUUUUGUUGGACAGUUCUCCACAUGCCUGUAAUUCAGCUGCCUGGAAACAGGUUCUGCUGAGCCACUGCAGGGCACCAACACAUUCACUGCCAGAGAUGGGUGCAGAUAGAGGAAAGCAACUGCAAACUUGCCAGCAGGUCUCAGAAGCGGCCCUUCUGAAGCUGGAGGUCAUUUCCUGGUGAAAAAAGUACAAAAGCAACCCCUAGUGUUCCCUCGGCCUCCUUGCACCACCCAGGCCAAGGCACUGUCUUUUCUCAGUAGCCUUCCCCAGCUCAGUAGGGUAUUAGGAGACUGAAAGUUUUGGUUUUAAUUUAAUGCAGCCCUUGAAGUAAGGGUGGCUGCUCAGAGCGCUGUGCAUUGCACUCAGACAGCAGAAGUCUUACAGGAAUUCAUUUUGAUCAAAAAAAGGGUUUGGGCUGAAAUACGUUUCAUUUGUCAUGUCUGUGGCCUUCUGUUCUUCAUACAACAUCAGAAUUAGAAAUCAUCCC